This 22-nucleotide microRNA is filed under the name Columba livia (rock pigeon). RNAcentral describes it as "Cli-Mir-1677-P2_5p* (star (passenger))". The record is from RNAcentral. Lineage: Eukaryota; Metazoa; Chordata; Aves; Columbiformes; Columbidae.
GAUCAAAAGCCUAUUUAAGUCA